CGUAGCCAACGCGUUAAGUGUUCCGCCUGGGGAGUACGCACGCAAGUGUGAAACUCAAAGGAAUUGACGGGGGCCCGCACAAGCGGUGGAGUAUGUGGUUUAAUUCGAUGCAACGCGAAGAACCUUACCAGGGUUUGACAUCCUGCGAAUUUCUGGGAAACCGGAAAGUGCCUUCGGGAGCGCAGUGACAGGUGGUGCAUGGCUGUCGUCAGCUCGUGUCGUGAGAUGUUGGGUUAAGUCCCGCAACGAGCGCAACCCACGUCUUUAGUUGCCAGCAUUUAGUUGGGCACUCUAGAGAGACCGCCGGUGAUAAACCGGAGGAAGGUGUGGAUGACGUCAAGUCAUCAUGCCCCUUACAUCCUGGGCUACACACGUACUACAAUGCUACGGACAAAGGGCAGCAAACUCGCGAGAGCUAGCAAAUCCCAUAAACCGUGGCUCAGUUCAGAUCGUAGGCUGCAACUCGCCUACGUGAAGGAGGAAUCGCUAGUAAUCGCAGGUCAGCAUACUGCGGUGAAUACGUUCCCGGGCCUUGUACACACCGCCCGUCACACCAUGGAAGUUGGCCACGCCCGAAGCCGUUACUCCAACCCUUGUGGAGGAGGACGUCGAAGGUGGGGCUGAUGACUGGGGUGAAGUCGUAACAAGGUAGCCGUACCGGAAGGUGCGGCUGGAUCACCUCCUAA
RNAcentral lists this ribosomal RNA (686 nucleotides) under uncultured Synechococcus sp. RNAcentral's name for it is "bacterial SSU rRNA". It matches the Rfam family "Bacterial small subunit ribosomal RNA", at positions 847 to 1533 of the family's 1533-position model. The record is from RNAcentral. Lineage: Bacteria; Bacillati; Cyanobacteriota; Cyanophyceae; Synechococcales; Synechococcaceae.